Long non-coding RNA from Humulus lupulus (European hop), 2480 nucleotides. RefSeq lists it as uncharacterized. The record is from RefSeq and is a predicted model, not a curated record. Lineage: Eukaryota; Viridiplantae; Streptophyta; Magnoliopsida; Rosales; Cannabaceae. The transcript is spliced from 9 exons.
UCAUUUUCUAAAUGUACAUAUCUCAUUCUCUCUCUUAACUCUCUGUCUCCCUCAUAUCUAUCUAACCCCAAACCCUAAAUUUUCCCGAACAUUUAGAAAUUUUUCCGAACCUCCGAGACCCCUCUAAAAAAAUUUCCAAACUUUCCUAGAGGAAAUUCUCCAAAUUUCCCAGAAAUUUCCCCACAACCUCAAACUCCCAGCUCUCCCUACCUCUCACCGAAAUCCCAAAAUUCUAGUCCUUCGUCGUUCGAAUCCUUCCGGUGAUGAAUUCCCGAUGAAUAGGACUGUCCUCACUGGUAGUUCUACUAGUUGUGUGGUGGUUGGCCACCACGGGAUCCGAAUCAGACCUUGGCCGUAUCCGAAUCCGACUGAGGUCAUGAAGGCGCACCAGAUUAUUGACACGGUUCAGAGGGAGCAGAGGCGUCAAUUUGGAGUCAAGAACCCUAGAACCGUCAUUGUGGUUACUCCCUUCACAUGACCGGUCUGAUGCAUUCGCUGAUGCUGGUGCUGUACGAAGUCGUUUGGAUCGUGGUGGAGGCUGGUGGAGCUAGCAAUGAGACCGAUUCGAUCCUUGCCAAGUCGGGACUCCGGACCAUUCACGUUGGAUUCGAGUAGCGGAUGCCGAAUUCUUGGGAGGGUCGUCAUCGAUUGGAGGCUCGGAUGAGGCUUCGUGCAUUGAGGAAAAUGGGUAUUCUCGAGACAUUCUGACUACGGUGCACAGAAGUAGAGCUGACUGUCCACAACCUGAGGUUUAAAGUUGUUGAAUCCUUGUGCAAUCUUAUUUUCGGUAAUGUACAUCUUAUUCAAAACUUCAUGUAAUUGUCAUUGGGCAGGAAAUGGUUACUGUUAGUGUAGGUGGUUCUAUGCUUGAUCGAAUUUAUAAAAUCAUGUCAUAUUUACGUCUCUGAUUUAUAUUUGUCAUAAAAUCAUGUCAUCUUGAUGCUAAAUUGAAGUUAUUAAGCAUGUAUAUCUGUUUUGAUGUAAUAUAUAUAAAUAUAUAAAUUUUUAUUAAGCUGUCUCUGAUGAUACAUUAGACUAAAUUUUGGGGCUCAGUUGUUGAAUUCUUGAAGUAUAAAAAUCUUCUUGGUAAAUUUUCAUAUCAGUAUUGUGAUUCAUAUGGCCUCUUUCUAUUAUGAGUCUAGUUAUUUCUCACUGCAACUAAUCAUUCGAGGAGAGGUUAGAUAUACAGAAUCAGUUUUGAGUUCUAUAAUUUGAUGGCACUCUUAUUUAUUUGUUUACUUAUUUAUAUUUGUGGCACUCUUUUAGGUCUUGUCUUAAAAAAAAUUUGUAUUUUCUUCUUUCAUUAUUGUCUCCAAUGUUUUUUGCAGCCACAUGUUGACUUUGGAUUAAAAGUACUUGGUGCAAAUGCUAUGUCCAUUCUUGGCCUAUAUGGGUUUGUCCAGUGUUUAGAUGAUGUUUAGUCAUAUAUCCUCGUUGAAAGAUCUUUGGAGAAGUACAAUGUUGUUCUUGACUCUAUAGUUCAAGACUUUCCUCACGUGGUAUUGCUUCAAUACUACAUUGAAUGACAGUGCCUGCUGAAAUGUACGAGGAGGAUUCUCAUGCAUGCUUGUAAUUUUAUAAUGAAUGAUGAGUGAUUUACUUAUUUAGUUCUCAGUUGUUAUCCCUUAGAGACUUAUUUUCCUUUAUUGGGCAUCCUCAACUAGUGCUAGAUAUCUACAGCUGAACUUUAAAUCCUACUUUCUAAAACUCAUUAUUUUUCUUUUUAUACUGCUACUAUUGAUGCAGUAUCUCUAGGAAAUGGCUCUCAGAGAGAUGUCGAUAUACGGAAGGAGGCACUAAACCUCAUUUCUGAUGGUUUAGAAGGAAAACUAUUGUAUGUUCUCCAAGAGCUUCUAUCUUCUAGUCACCCUGACCAAAUGUGAUAUUGAACCCAAGGCACCCGAACUACUGUUGAAGCUGCAUGCCGCCGCUAAUCUGCCGUCGGUCUCCUCUGCUCUGGUUUCAGAGAAAAUGGGAUCAAUGGCAGAUGAAUUAGAUCCAUGUUGAACAAUUGGAUCCAUGUUGAACAAUCAUUGGUGAACACAGGAAAGGAAAGGGCAAAAGUCAGCCUUCUUUUUACAUGGGCGGAAGACAAUGUUGCCAACCAGAGGGAACAUCUAAUUCUUCUCCUUGCCAAUAUUCACAUUCAGAAAGCUAAAAAGCAGUCUGUCUUGAAGGAUCUUGCAGGCAAAGGACACCAAGUGAAUUAGAUAGAGAGGUUAAGAACUUGAGGGUGGCAUUUACUGACCUGUUUUUGAAGCAUAACACUUUCAAAGAAACUGCAAAGCCAUCGAGAUAUUGAUGCAAAGAAUGGAAGAAUGUAUUUCACUAAUUUUUGUAUACAUUUCUUGUUUUGUAUUUAGUGAUAAAGGAAUCUGAAUUGGGCAUAAAUUAUGUUGUAAUAUGAUUUCUUAAGCCUAGACUAGUAGACUAAAUAUUGUAAUUACAUUUGAGUAAUUAAUAAAAAUUUAUUUAUGUUA